This is a long non-coding RNA of Pseudopipra pipra, 978 nucleotides long. RefSeq lists it as uncharacterized. The record is from RefSeq and is a predicted model, not a curated record. Lineage: Eukaryota; Metazoa; Chordata; Aves; Passeriformes; Pipridae. The transcript is spliced from 2 exons.
GAUAUCACCCACUAGAUCAGGUUGCCAGGUCCCACUCCAACCUGACCUUGAACUCUUCCAGGGAUGGGGCAGCCACAACCUUUCUGAGCAACCUCUUUCAGUGCUUCACCACUCUCACAGUAAAGAGUUUCCUCUUAACACCUAAUCUAAAUCUCCCCUUUUUCAGUUUAAAACUACUUCCCCUUCUCCUCUCACCUUCUGGCCAUGUAAAAAGUCACUGACCAACUUUUAUAUAACCCCCUUUUAGGUACUGGAAGGUUCUAGAAUGUAUCCCUGGAGCCUUCUCUUCUCCAGGCUAAGUAACACCAACCCUCUCACCUGUCUUCACAGGACAUGAGUCACCUUCCCCCAGCAAGGCCCAGUGUUCCACAGUCCAUGUUUUAAAGCCUCCCUCUUUGUUCUUUUCACCCAGAGUAGGACACUUUUCUAACUUAUCAUCUAAAUCCCACUUGGCAUCUUGACAUUUGAAGUCACAAGAGCAGCAGCUGAAGGUUGACACAGAUUAACCCAGGUUGUCUGAACAGAGUUCAAGACAAGCAAAGGACAUGAAACACCAGAUCAGCUGAGCUGGAACAGGGUCUAUUCUCUGGGUGGACAGUUCUGGCAUUACAUUCUGACAACGAGAUCUUCACAAGAGCCAAAAGAGUGAGAAGGACCUUUGCCUCUGGCCAUUGGUUCAUGAAGAUUUUCAGUAGUGUCCAAGACAUGAAUGUCCCGACCUGGGUACCUUGAAGAUGUUCAAGACACACCCUUAACCCUAAUAAUGGUGUUCAGGAAGAAACCUCAGAGAGGAUCUGUACUCUCUGCACUAAUCUUCAUGACUGCAGCAGACCACAGCAUGUCUUCUUUUGGAAAUGGGUCUGAAUUCCCACCCCUGCCACAAGCCACAUCUUGCUCACGGGCAUCUCAUUUGCCACCAAGGCCUGCAGAUAUUUUCCAUGCUACAAAUAAAACUACAGCUCCAUUCUACAACUCCAA